CCAAUAGCGUAUAUUAGUGUUGUUGCGGUUAAAAAGCUCGUAGUUGAAUUUCGGGAUUGGGAUAUAUCGGUCGUGCCUUUAGGGGCAUGAAACGGUGUGUAGCCAAUUUCUCACCUUCUGGUGAGUCGGGAUGCUCUUGGGUGUUUCGAUGAACCAGGACAUUUACUUUGAAAAAAUUAGAGUGUUUAAAGCGGGCAUUUUUGCUUGAAUACAUUAGCAUGGAAUAAUAAAAUAGGACGAUGGUUCUAUUUUGUUGGUUUUAGGACUACGUAAUGAUUAAUAGGGAUAGUUGGGGGCAUUAGUAUUCAAUUGUCAGAGGUGAAAUUCUUGGAUUUAUUGAGGACUAACUACUGCGAAAGCAUUUGCCAAGGAUGUUUUCAUUAAUCAAGAACGAAAGUUAGGGGAUCAAAGACGAUUUAUGUACGUCGUAGUCUUAACCAUAAACUAUGCCGACUAGGAAUCAGACAAAGUUCAUUUUUUAAAGACUUGUUUGGUACCUUACG
Molecule: unclassified non-coding RNA, 503 nt
Filed under: uncultured Glomeromycotina
Lineage: Eukaryota; Fungi; Glomeromycota
Description: SSU rRNA
Rfam family: Eukaryotic small subunit ribosomal RNA
Source: RNAcentral